RNAcentral lists this ribosomal RNA (917 nucleotides) under Leotiomycetes sp. genotype 161. Its description in RNAcentral is "eukaryotic LSU rRNA". The stretch from base 383 to 917 matches the Rfam family "Eukaryotic large subunit ribosomal RNA", at positions 1 to 539 of the family's 3401-position model. The record is from RNAcentral. Lineage: Eukaryota; Fungi; Ascomycota; Leotiomycetes.
UCCGGCUGGUGAGCGCCCGCCAAAGAAUCCCAAAACUCUGAAUAUUUGUGUCGUCUGAGUACUAUAUAAUAGUUAAAACUUUCAACAACGGAUCUCUUGGUUCUGGCAUCGAUGAAGAACGCAGCGAAAUGCGAUAAGUAAUGUGAAUUGCAGAAUUCAGUGAAUCAUCGAAUCUUUGAACGCACAUUGCGCCCCUUGGUAUUCCGAGGGGCAUGCCCGUUCGAGCGUCAUUAUAACCCCUCAAGCCUAGCUUGGUGUUGGGGCCUGCUGUUACCGGCAGCCCUUAAAAUCAGUGGCGGUGCCAUCUGGCUCUAAGCGUAGUAAUACUUCUCGCUACAGGGUCCUGGUGGAUACUUGCCAUCAACCCCUAAAUUUCUAUGGUUGACCUCGGAUCGGGUAGGGAUACCCGCUGAACUUAAGCAUAUCAAUAAGCGGAGGAAAAGAAACCAACAGGGAUUGCCUUAGUAACGGCGAGUGAAGCGGCAACAGCUCAAAUUUGAAAUCUGGCUCUUUCAGAGUCCGAGUUGUAAUUUGUAGAAGAUGCUUCGAGUGUGGUACCGGUCUAAGUUCCUUGGAACAGGACGUCAUAGAGGGUGAGAAUCCCGUAUGUGACUGGUCACCUUCGCUCAUGUGAAGCUCUUUCGACGAGUCGAGUUGUUUGGGAAUGCAGCUCAAAAUGGGUGGUAAAUUUCAUCUAAAGCUAAAUAUUGGCCAGAGACCGAUAGCGCACAAGUAGAGUGAUCGAAAGAUGAAAAGCACUUUGGAAAGAGAGUUAAACAGUACGUGAAAUUGUUGAAAGGGAAGCGCUUGCAACCAGACUUGCACGUAGUUAAUCAUCCGGGGUUCUCCCCGGUGCACUUGGCUACGUUCAGGCCAGCAUCGGUUUUGGUGGUUGGAUAAAGGCCUAGGGAAUGUGG